This 468-nucleotide ribosomal RNA is filed under the name uncultured bacterium. RNAcentral's name for it is "partial 16S ribosomal RNA". It matches the Rfam family "Bacterial small subunit ribosomal RNA", at positions 28 to 507 of the family's 1533-position model. The record is from RNAcentral.
GACGAACGCUGGCGGCGUGCUUAACACAUGCAAGUCGAACGGAAAGGCCCUGCUUUUGUGGGGUGCUCGAGUGGCGAACGGGUGAGUAACACGUGAGUAACCUGCCCUUGACUUUGGGAUAACUUCAGGAAACUGGGGCUAAUACCGGAUAGGAGCUCCUGCUGCAUGGUGGGGGUUGGAAAGUUUCGGCGGUUGGGGAUGGACUCGCGGCUUAUCAGCUUGUUGGUGGGGUAGUGGCUUACCAAGGCUUUGACGGGUAGCCGGCCUGAGAGGGUGACCGGCCACAGUGGGGCUGAGAGACGGACGAGACGCAGACGGGAGCAACCACGGGGGGUGGGGGAUGAAGGGGCGGGUGCCUCACGCAGCUACGCCGCGUGCGGGAGGGCGGCUGGCGGGGUGGAGACAGGUUUCGCCUGCGACGUAGCUGCAGGCACGGGAAGUAGUAAAGAGACGCCCCCCAGCUACGUC